This 73-nucleotide transfer RNA is filed under the name archaeon. Its description in RNAcentral is "tRNA-Gly". It matches the Rfam family "tRNA". Rfam says of the family: Transfer RNA (tRNA) molecules are approximately 80 nucleotides in length. Their secondary structure includes four short double-helical elements and three loops (D, anti-codon, and T loops). RNAcentral also lists the same sequence under 2 other names. The record is from RNAcentral.
GCGGCCGUCGUCUAGCCCGGUAGGACGUCGGCCUCCCGAGCCGUUGACCCGGGUUCAAAUCCCGGCGGCCGCA